This 72-nucleotide transfer RNA is filed under the name Capra hircus (goat). It matches the Rfam family "tRNA". Rfam says of the family: Transfer RNA (tRNA) molecules are approximately 80 nucleotides in length. Their secondary structure includes four short double-helical elements and three loops (D, anti-codon, and T loops). Lineage: Eukaryota; Metazoa; Chordata; Mammalia; Artiodactyla; Bovidae. RNAcentral also lists the same sequence under 1 other name. The record is from Rfam by way of RNAcentral.
CCCUUGCUGGUCUGGUGGCUAGGAUUCCUGGUUCUCAGCCAGGCUACCUAGGUUCAAUUCCUGGGCAGGGAA